AUGAGUGGAAAUCCUGGACAAUUACAUACCUGAACUGGAAAAGGCCAGUGUCUCCCGGGACAUGUAUGAAUGUGAAUGUUUAACUGCAAUGAAAAUGAAACUGUCAAAGCCAGGGAUCCCGUGUGGUGGCGACAUUGAUGGCAGACGCAGGUGGAUGAGUUGUUGAGAGGUGCAGCUUGCCAUAGAGGGUAUGAUGUCAAUUGGCCCAGGUUGUUGUAUUGUCCAGGCAGUAUUGAUGUUUUCCCAUAUUAGAACCAAUGCCUUACUCCUGCCAACUCCAGCUGGGAUCCACGUGGGAGAAAUCUGCCAAGUUGGUUUCCUCGUUCCGAAUUUGAGAGGAGAAUGACAGCGGGAUUUCAGUGAAGUCAUCUGCUGAUGGCUAUAUGAAAGGAAACAAGAUUUCCUUUGCGAAGAAUCAUUUGCAUUAAAGAUUUCCCGCUGGCAUACUCCAGGACGAAGAAGGAUUCCAGCUGUUAAAGAGAGAAUAGAAGAAGGUGAGACCUAGAACAUCCAGCCUCCCACCCAAA
Xenopus laevis (African clawed frog) is the source of this 527-nucleotide long non-coding RNA. RefSeq lists it as uncharacterized. The record is from RefSeq and is a predicted model, not a curated record. The transcript has 3 exons. NCBI's taxonomy places the organism in Eukaryota, Metazoa, Chordata, Amphibia, Anura, Pipidae.